GUGGGGAAUCUUGCGCAAUGGGCGAAAGCCUGACGCAGCAACGCCGCGUGCGGGAUGACGGCCUUCGGGUUGUAAACCGCUUUCAGUGGGGACGAAAACAGACGGUACCCACAGAAGAAGCUCCGGCCAACUACGUGCCAGCAGCCGCGGUAACACGUAGGGAGCAAGCGUUGUCCGGAAUCAUUGGGCGUAAAGAGCUCGUAGGCGGCUCAGUAAGUCGGGUGUGAAACCUCCAGGCUCAACCUGGAGACGCCACUCGAUACUGCUGUGGCUAGAGUCCAGUAGGGGAGUGUGGAAUUCCCGGUGUAGCGGUGAAAUGCGCAGAUAUCGGGAGGAACACCAGCGGCGAAGGCGGCACUCUGGGCUGGUACUGACGCUGAGGAGCGAAAGCGUGGGUAGCAAACAGGAUUAGAAACCCGGGUAGUCC
Molecule: ribosomal RNA, 427 nt
Filed under: uncultured bacterium
Lineage: Bacteria
Description: bacterial SSU rRNA
Rfam family: Bacterial small subunit ribosomal RNA
Source: RNAcentral